GUGUUAUUGACCACCGGAUGAAGGAUUGCCGAAAGAAUAAUUUUCUUUUCGUUUGUUUAAAUUAAUAAAUAAAUAAAAAAGUUUAUUUUCCUUAGACAGACGAUAAGACCCUAAAACCUUUAAUGAGAACUUAAACCUCUUUUGCUGGGGCGGCAAAUUAUAACUUCACGAUUUACAAAAACACAAUGAAUGAAUAUUCAAAUAACUUAAAUUAAAUCCAAAAAGGUACUUUAGGGAUAACAGCAUAAUUUUUAUCUAGAGUUACUUAUCAACAUAAAAGAUUAUGACCUCGAUGUUGAAUUGAUGAAACUCUACUAAGCAGCUAUAGUAAUAUGUAGGUCUGUUCGACCUUUAAAUCAUCACAUGAUCUGAGUUCAAACCGGA
Molecule: ribosomal RNA, 384 nt
Filed under: Trachelipus kytherensis
Lineage: Eukaryota; Metazoa; Arthropoda; Malacostraca; Isopoda; Trachelipodidae
Description: partial 16S ribosomal RNA
Rfam family: Bacterial large subunit ribosomal RNA (bases 69-384)
Source: RNAcentral